Molecule: non-coding RNA, 85 nt
Organism: Podarcis lilfordi (Lilford's wall lizard)
Lineage: Eukaryota; Metazoa; Chordata; Lepidosauria; Squamata; Lacertidae
Source: the annotation of a GenBank genome assembly
UCUCUCUCUCUCUCUCUCUCUCUCUCUCUCUCUCUCACACACACACACAGAGAGAGAGAGAGAGAGAGAGAGAGAGAGAGAGAGA